UCCAGACUCCUACGGGAGGCAGCAGUGGGGAAUAUUGCACAAUGGGGGAAACCCUGAUGCAGCGACGCCGCGUGAGCGAAGAAGUAUUUCGGUAUGUAAAGCUCUAUCAGCAGGGAAGAAAAAAAUGACGGUACCUGAGUAAGAAGCACCGGCUAAAUACGUGCCAGCAGCCGCGGUAAUACGUAUGGUGCAAGCGUUAUCCGGAUUUACUGGGUGUAAAGGGAGCGUAGGCGGCGCGUUAAGUCUGAUGUGAAAACCCGAGGCUCAACCACGGGAGUGCAUUGGAAACUGGCGGGCUGGGGUGCCGGAGAGGUAAGCGGAAUUCCUAGUGUAGCGGUGAAAUGCGUAGAUAUUAGGAGGAACACCAGUGGCGAAGGCGGCUUACUGGACGGCAACUGACGCUGAGGCUCGAAAGCGUGGGGAGCAAACAGGAUUAGAUACCCCAGUAA
Molecule: ribosomal RNA, 449 nt
Filed under: uncultured bacterium
Lineage: Bacteria
Description: bacterial SSU rRNA
Rfam family: Bacterial small subunit ribosomal RNA
Source: RNAcentral